UCCAUUCUUGCUGUCAACUCUGCUAAGAUUUUUGUAUUUGGAAUUCAUGGUAUUGAAUAAGAAGGCCAUGUUGAAUGGUCUCUAGAUUACAAAUACCAAGACCUCCUUGGUGCAGGGAGGGAUGUCUGGGAUAUGAGCAUGUGUGCUCUUGCACUAUCACCAUUAAUCCUUACAGGGUAACCUCUGUUCUACUCUCACCUCAAGCCAAUUAGCUGAAGAAACUCACUUGGAAAAGUAAUUCUCCAGGUGCAGUUGAGGCAACAACCUGCAAGAGCAGAGGAGUCGUGCAUCAUAAUCUGGAAGUGGCAAGAUUCAGCCUGGCCUUGGUGGAAGCAAAUUACACAGUCUUGCGUCCUCCACCAAAAAUGUUCUUCUCCCAGACGUUGUGAAUUUUAGGAGUAUUCAGAUCUGAGAUCUUAGCCCAGGUCACAUAUCAGUGUUAAAUAGAUGAUUAAUAAGUAUCUGCAUAUACUUGUACUGUUUAAAUGAAGGGAAAAAACCCUCAAACUAAUUUAAAGGAUUAACAAAAAGAAAUUAGAAACACUAUAGUAUUCUGAAAUAGAUGUAAAUGCCAAAUAUCGUCACAAAGGGAAAAUAAAUAGAAAGAAUACCAAGGUGAAUAUGAAAUAAUUCUGUUGACCGACAGUAAUUAUUGUAGAUAUUUAUAUUUGGUUUUCACACGUGACUGCUACAAAUACCCAUAAAUAUGAAAAAAUAU
Non-coding RNA from Chelonoidis abingdonii (Abingdon island giant tortoise), 718 nucleotides. NCBI's taxonomy places the organism in Eukaryota, Metazoa, Chordata, Testudines, Testudinidae. The record is from RefSeq and is a predicted model, not a curated record.